CCUACGGGGGGCAGCAGUGGGGAAUAUUGCGCAAUGGGCGAAAGCCUGACGCAGCGACGCCGCGUGAGGGAUGAAGGUCUUCGGAUCGCAAACCUCUGUCAGCAGGGAAGAACGGUCACUGUGCUAAUCAGCAGUGAAUUGACGGUACCUGCAAAGGAAGCACCGGCUAACUCCGUGCCAGCAGCUGCGGUAAUACGGAGGGUGCGAGCGUUAAUCGGAAUUACUGGGCGUAAAGCGCUCGUAGGCGGUAUGUCAAGUCAAGGGGGAAAUCCCCGCGCUCAACGUGGGAACUGCCUUUGAAACUGGCAAACUGGAGUGUGUGAGAGGAGAGUGGAAUUCCAGGUGUAGGAGUGAAAUCCGUAGAUAUCUGGAGGAACAUCAGUGGCGAAGGCGACUAUCUGGCACAUAACUGACGCUGAGGAGCGAAAGCGUGGGUAGCAAACAGGAUUAGAUACCCGUGUAGUC
This 465-nucleotide ribosomal RNA is filed under the name uncultured bacterium. Its description in RNAcentral is "partial 16S ribosomal RNA". It matches the Rfam family "Bacterial small subunit ribosomal RNA", at positions 338 to 795 of the family's 1533-position model. The record is from RNAcentral.